Molecule: ribosomal RNA, 340 nt
Filed under: uncultured bacterium
Lineage: Bacteria
Description: bacterial SSU rRNA
Rfam family: Bacterial small subunit ribosomal RNA
Source: RNAcentral
GACGAACGCUGGCGGCGUGCCUAAUACAUGCAAGUCGAGCGAGCUUGCCUAGAUGAUUUUAGUGCUUGCACUAAAUGAAACUAGAUACAAGCGAGCGGCGGACGGGUGAGUAACACGUGGGUAACCUGCCCAAGAGACUGGGAUAACACCUGGAAACAGAUGCUAAUACCGGAUAACAACACUAGACGCAUGUCUAGAGUUUGAAAGAUGGUUCUGCUAUCACUCUUGGAUGGACCUGCGGUGCAUUAGCUAGUUGGUGGGGUAACGGCCUACCAAGGCGACGAUCAGUAGCCGGCCUGAGAGGGUGAACGGCCACAUUGGGACUGAGACACGGCCCAAA